Pelobates cultripes (western spadefoot toad) is the source of this 117-nucleotide non-coding RNA. The record is from the annotation of a GenBank genome assembly. NCBI's taxonomy places the organism in Eukaryota, Metazoa, Chordata, Amphibia, Anura, Pelobatidae.
AAAUCAGGCUCAACGUUUCAGUUCUCUCCAAGGACUUUCAUUAGGAUCAUAAAACCUUUUAUGAUCCUGAUGAAAGUCCUUGGAGAGGACUGAAAUGUUGAUCCUGAUUUUAAACUG